This 242-nucleotide long non-coding RNA is filed under the name Brassica napus (rape). Its description in RNAcentral is "long non-coding RNA (BNAP_LNC008612)". The record is from RNAcentral. Lineage: Eukaryota; Viridiplantae; Streptophyta; Magnoliopsida; Brassicales; Brassicaceae.
ACUCACAAAACUAUGUGUAGCCUCUGUGUCAAAAAGUACGUGUGUUUCCACACCACAAAUCCACUUGUGGAAAAUAUCUCAGUUCAUGACCACACCACAAGGAACGUCCAAUAACAUCCCUCAUGAAGUCUUCAAUCACUUAAUACUUCCACUACCAUUACGUUCCUAGUUGAGUAAGAUCUCGGUUUGACCACAUACUUGGAAAACGUCCCAUACCAUUCUCCAAGGCGUCUUACUUUUGC